RNAcentral lists this ribosomal RNA (600 nucleotides) under Streptomyces sp. SCAU7007. RNAcentral's name for it is "bacterial SSU rRNA". It matches the Rfam family "Bacterial small subunit ribosomal RNA", at positions 106 to 719 of the family's 1533-position model. The record is from RNAcentral. Lineage: Bacteria; Bacillati; Actinomycetota; Actinomycetes; Kitasatosporales; Streptomycetaceae.
GUGAGUAACACGUGGGCAAUCUGCCCUGCACUCUGGGACAAGCCCUGGAAACGGGGUCUAAUACCGGAUACUGACCUGCCAAGGCAUCUUGGCGGGUCGAAAGCUCCGGCGGUGCAGGAUGAGCCCGCGGCCUAUCAGCUUGUUGGUGAGGUAAUGGCUCACCAAGGCGACGACGGGUAGCCGGCCUGAGAGGGCGACCGGCCACACUGGGACUGAGACACGGCCCAGACUCCUACGGGAGGCAGCAGUGGGGAAUAUUGCACAAUGGGCGAAAGCCUGAUGCAGCGACGCCGCGUGAGGGAUGACGGCCUUCGGGUUGUAAACCUCUUUCAGCAGGGAAGAAGCGAAAGUGACGGUACCUGCAGAAGAAGCGCCGGCUAACUACGUGCCAGCAGCCGCGGUAAUACGUAGGGCGCAAGCGUUGUCCGGAAUUAUUGGGCGUAAAGAGCUCGUAGGCGGCUUGUCGCGUCGGUUGUGAAAGCCCGGGGCUUAACCCCGGGUCUGCAGUCGAUACGGGCAGGCUAGAGUUCGGUAGGGGAGAUCGGAAUUCCUGGUGUAGCGGUGAAAUGCGCAGAUAUCAGGAGGAACACCGGUGGCGAA